UGCACUGGUGACAGAGCCUGUGGCAUCUGCUCGGUGUGGGCUGGCUGUUUCACAGGGAGUGACAGGAAGGACACCCAUGGCUGGAGACAGCAGCACUUCCAGGGCAUCCUCCCCCUCUCCAGGGUGACCCCAUAGUUCCUGUACCUGUAAUUCAUUAAUUUAGGGGUAUUCAAGAGCACAUUCUGAUGCCAAACUAAGGUUUCCAUGCAGCCAAAUCCCAGCCCAGGGAAGAUUGGGAAUGUCUGGGGUAGAGGGUUUAAAUAUCAAUGCAAACACUUCCUAGAUAUUUUCUAAAUAUCUGAAAUACAGAAACCAUCCUUGACUGCUCUGAAUUUCCUCCUUCUCUCAGAAAUGAACACAUUUUGCCUGGUGAAUAUUGCACUGGCUCGGUUUUGUGAAGGACACACAUUUCCCCCAGGUGAACACGAGGAACUGCUCUGCGUGAAACAGAGCAAACUCCCCCCUCCCUUUUUCAAUUGGAGAAGUUCCUCCUCCACUGGCGGCUCAGAACCGGGUCCCUGCUGAAGGAUUGGGUGUGCUUGAAGUUUGACAGAUUCACCUGUGCCUGCAUUUUUCAGUCCUGAGGAGAAGUUGGACGAACUGCAGAGCGAAUAAUUCUUCCUGCCUUCAGAGCCUCGUGAAAGCUCCCAGCUGCCAUCAGACAUUAUUCCCUGGGGAACACCAGGAUCCCGUCCAUGGGUGACUUCAGGUUUUUUUUUUGUGUUCAUGAUAGAAAGGUGGGAGGGCAGCAGAGAAACUGGGCUGCCAAAAACAGGGGAGGGAAGAGACACAAAGAAUAAAUUCUACAUCUUUCGUGUGAA
Corvus hawaiiensis (hawaiian crow) is the source of this 821-nucleotide long non-coding RNA. RefSeq lists it as uncharacterized. NCBI's taxonomy places the organism in Eukaryota, Metazoa, Chordata, Aves, Passeriformes, Corvidae. The record is from RefSeq and is a predicted model, not a curated record. The transcript has 2 exons.